RNAcentral lists this ribosomal RNA (253 nucleotides) under uncultured bacterium. RNAcentral describes it as "partial 16S ribosomal RNA". It matches the Rfam family "Bacterial small subunit ribosomal RNA", at positions 524 to 776 of the family's 1533-position model. The record is from RNAcentral.
UACGUAGGGGGCAAGCGUUGUCCGGAUUUACUGGGCGUAAAGAGCGCGCAGGCGGUCGUUCAAGUCGCGUGUGAAAGCCCCCGGCUCAACUGGGGAGGGUCACGCGAUACUGAUCGACUCGAAGGCAGGAGAGGGUAGUGGAAUUCCUGGUGUAGCGGUGAAAUGCGCAGAUAUCAGGAGGAACACCAAUUGCGAAGGCAGCUCGCUGGGACGUUACUGACGCUGAGACGCGAAAGCGUGGGGAGCAAACAGG